AGGCGUCGGGAGCUGCGCGUGCACGUGGCGGCAGCGGCACUGCGGCGGUUUGCUCGCCUUUCCCGCCUUUCCCGCCUUUCCCGCCUUUCCCGCCUUUCCCGCCUCAGCUUAGAGCGCGCGCACGGUAACGCGCUUCCCUCAGGGCGAGCCUUGCUUUGGGCCGCCUCAGCCUGCAUUCUCACCUCUGUGUGUGGUUACGGCGCUUGUGUCUUGCAGCUUCGCUUUUUAUUGGUAUACGUGGAACUGAAAAGCAAACAGAUCCACUGAAGUGUUGUGUUUUUUGCACCUAUCAUCACCCUCAAGUCUCCGUAUAACGUGUGGUAAAAAAUGGGGCAAUGGAGAAAUGACAUAUUCAAUGGACAGGGCACUAUAAUUCAUUGUUCCUGUGACAUCUGUGAUAGACUGUGGAUCAAUGGGUGCACUGCUGUGGAAACUGCAUGCUGCUAUGUGUUGUAAGAACACUCAGUUUGAG
This is a long non-coding RNA of Gallus gallus (chicken), 472 nucleotides long. Lineage: Eukaryota; Metazoa; Chordata; Aves; Galliformes; Phasianidae. The record is from Ensembl.